GGGGCUGUAGCUCAGUGGUAGAGUGCUUGCCUGGCACGUGUGAGUCAUUGGGUUCAAUCCUCAGCACCA
Molecule: transfer RNA, 69 nt
Filed under: Ictidomys tridecemlineatus (thirteen-lined ground squirrel)
Lineage: Eukaryota; Metazoa; Chordata; Mammalia; Rodentia; Sciuridae
Description: Spermophilus tridecemlineatus (thirteen-lined ground squirrel) tRNA
Rfam family: tRNA
About the family: Transfer RNA (tRNA) molecules are approximately 80 nucleotides in length.
Source: Rfam by way of RNAcentral